AUGACGAGAAGAGUUCCAGCCCCUCCUGCCCUUCCAUCCCAUGGCAGCCAAUGCUUGUCCCCAGUGUGCCUUUACACAUUUUUUUAUUUACUAAUUAUUUUAUUUUAUUUUAUUGGUCUGCAUAGUAUUUUCCAGAGUUAUAAUCUUCAAACAACAACUAUAAAGAAGCUGGUCUGGCCUUUCCCUGACUGGGGACCACAUCUCAGGUACAGUAACUUGUCCCCGUUUCCUGGCAUUAAUGGAACAUCUAAAACACAACAGUGGAGCAGAUGAUGCAGCUGAAAAUCUGCUACGCUACACAUGUUGGGGCAAGCUUGGCAUUAACAACUUCCCAUGUACUGGUUCUCUGGUUCAGAAGUGGCAGAUUUCUUCACUUGUCAGUCUUUCCUAACGUGAGCUUUUUGCAACCCCACAAUAUCCACCUCCUUGUCACCCACACAAUUCCUCUCAUUCUCCAUGCAAAGUGCAGUUUCUAGGCCUUUGUUUUCAACCUUUGUUUUUUGUUCUCCUUCAGUUCUAGGUCCAUACAAGAGCUCUGGAAAUGCAAGUUAAACAGGUGAAGGCUGAGAUGAAAUUAGAUGUGAUAUGACACUUCUUUAAUGAGCUCUUUUGGUGAUAGGCAGACAAUUUGACUGGAUGUUCUUGUAGGUCUUUUCCAACCUUGGUGAUUCAGUGAUUCUUCAGUUCUAUAAAACCAUGUUUUGAUGCAGCUCCUGUGGAGAACGCACCUCCUGGCAGUCUUGUACUAGUCUGGAAGCACAGGAGUGCCAACUUUGUCCCCACUGAAGAUGCAGUAAUGAUACUGUGUAAUGCCUUGCAUUUUUAAGGGUUUCUAAUGAUACAAGAGACCUUACAUCCCUUUUUCUCUACAAAGGAACAUUGCAGAAAAUAAGCUGCUUUCUGUUCUUUAAAAGAUGAAGGCAGAUGAGCUCCUGCUUCCUGGGAGUGGCACCAGAAGAUAACUGGUGGCUGAUCAAGAAAUCUUUCCAUGUUGUUUUUUCUCAUGGCAGAGUUUUCUGCAUCCUUCUGGAAUGUGUGUAGGCCUGGGUUCUGAGCAUAGAACCCAGAACUCCCCAGCUGUAGAAGCUCCUGUUUAGUUAAAAUGAUGUCUGUGGACUUGUCCACAAUCUAAUAAAGGCUGAAAUGGUUACUGUACCA
This is a long non-coding RNA of Phasianus colchicus (ring-necked pheasant), 1158 nucleotides long. Lineage: Eukaryota; Metazoa; Chordata; Aves; Galliformes; Phasianidae. The record is from Ensembl.